This 74-nucleotide transfer RNA is filed under the name bacterium. RNAcentral describes it as "tRNA-Ala". It matches the Rfam family "tRNA". Rfam says of the family: Transfer RNA (tRNA) molecules are approximately 80 nucleotides in length. Their secondary structure includes four short double-helical elements and three loops (D, anti-codon, and T loops). The record is from RNAcentral. RNAcentral also lists the same sequence under 2 other names.
GGGCCUGUAGCUCAGUUUGGUAGAGCACUUCAUUCGCAUUGAAGGGGUCAGGGGUUCGACUCCCCUCAGGUCCA